Molecule: ribosomal RNA, 119 nt
Filed under: Pteropus alecto (black flying fox)
Lineage: Eukaryota; Metazoa; Chordata; Mammalia; Chiroptera; Pteropodidae
Source: RNAcentral
AUUUAUGGCCAUGCUACCCUGAACAAACCCAAUUCCAUAUGAUCUCGGAAGCUAAGUAGGGUUGGGCCUGGUUAGUACUUGGAUGGGAGACCACCUAGGAAGACCAGGUGCUGGAGGCG